Pseudophryne corroboree (corroboree frog) is the source of this 1121-nucleotide long non-coding RNA. RefSeq lists it as uncharacterized. Lineage: Eukaryota; Metazoa; Chordata; Amphibia; Anura; Myobatrachidae. The record is from RefSeq and is a predicted model, not a curated record. The transcript has 2 exons.
UAGGGGGAGCAGGGUCACCACCAGGGGGGCUGUUGGGACUACAGUCCCGGACUCGGACAGAAAAGGGGCUCACCAAGCAGGCAGCUCACACUGCUUACCAGCUGGGACUGAUCUAUUAUACUGGUCUGGUUGCAGCACUCUCAGGCAGUGGCGUUACAAAGGGUGCCCACAUGAGAGCCCCACCAACAAACUUCUGCACAAGGGGUACAUCCGCCUGUGCCAAAUAGCCAUGGGUGGGGUGAAGAAACAGCACCUGACAUCUAACUGUUUGCAGAGGCUUCUUGACGCUACAUCUUCCCUGCAGCAGCUAUACCCAGCUCCUAGCACUGGCAGCAGAGGGACGUAGCAAUGAUGCCUAGUUCACAGAGGAGCCCUAGCUGAGAGGAGAGAGAAGGCAGAUGGACUUAAGAAGCAUUUAGUGGAGUGGGCUCUUCAUGUUUCUUUGCCUACAGAUAUCAGGGUCCCCAGAGAUGUCAGGAACUUUACACACUGAGGAAGCCGCUGACAACUAUUAUAUGCGGGGAAACACGUCUGUGGAGGUCGAUAUAAGAGUUUACCCUCUGUCACGUGUGCUACGAGCCAGCCGGCCGGCCAAUUUUCCCUGCUGCCAACAUCUAAGAAUCGGGGAAGAGAAGGCUGUUUUGCACGUGGACCCCAGUGCUAAGGGGGAAUGAGAAGUGCGUUCCAGUACCAUUGUGCCUAUGUAACACACUAACAACAGGGGCUCCUACUGUAUUGAACUUGCUGUACAUUGCAGGGAUGCCUGCACUGUUUUUUUAAAAUAAGCUGACAGUUGUACAAUACAUAGAGUCAGAGGAGCGUAUCAUAAGCCUUAACCAGAGACUAAUAAGCUUAUUAACCCCUGCAUGUCUAUAUAUAUAUAUAUAUAUAUAUAUAUACGGCUGAAUCUUUAUACUAAUAUGCAUGCAAUAUACACCAAGGGUGUUUGUUAUUAAUGCUGAAAUUAAGGGGUGUUUUACUGAAUACAUAUGCAUAUGAAAUUUUUAGGUCCGUUGUGAACUAACUAGUAUUGUGUGUUAUGUUUUAAUGGUUUGUGAUACCGUCCGGUGUCUUAGCUUUUUAAUAUAUAUUGUAUUGUGCAAUAAAUGUCCAUACUUGGA